RNAcentral lists this long non-coding RNA (535 nucleotides) under Equus caballus (horse). Its description in RNAcentral is "lncRNA (ENSECAG00000050111.1)". Lineage: Eukaryota; Metazoa; Chordata; Mammalia; Perissodactyla; Equidae. The record is from RNAcentral.
GGGGAAGCUCUGCUGAUCUCAAUUAAUUCAGGGCAGGCUGAUAGAGCAGCUACCAUCUCGAAUAGCUCCAGCAGCCAUGCCAGUGAGGGAGAAAGAUCGCUGGAGGGUUGCGGGCUAAUGGCUGUCUACCGGAAGUGGCGAACAUCACUUCCGCUCACAGCUCGCUGGUCAGAAAGACUUAGCAGGUUGCGCUCAAUCGCAAGAGACCAGGAAAAGUAUUCCAACCGUGUAUGCAAUAGAGGGAAGAACCAUAAAUCUGUGCCGGUCAGCGGCAAUGACCAUCACUUUCUGAACAAGUGUGACCUGAUGAUGCAGUCACCAGUCUUGUCUCAGGCAGAGGACUGGAACUAACACAAGUGAGGCCAGAAGUGGACUGAGAACACAGGCAAUAAGAUGGGGACUUGAGACUGGCUCAUCGACUGUGCAGAGGAUGAAGGAAAUACCCUCCUGGUUGGCAAGUAAGCAGGGAUAGUCUCCGUCACAAGAGGAUGAAAUUGAGGCUCAUAUGAAUUAGUUUGCUGAAGGUCACAGAAGC